GGGACACGUGGUAUCCUGUCUGAAUAUGGGGGGACCAUCCUCCAAGGCUAAAUACUCCUGACUGACCGAUAGUGAACCAGUACCGUGAGGGAAAGGCGAAAAGAACCCCGGCGAGGGGAGUGAAAAAGAACCUGAAACCGUGUACGUACAAGCAGUGGGAGCACGCUUAGGCGUGUGACUGCGUACCUUUUGUAUAAUGGGUCAGCGACUUAUAUUCUGUAGCAAGGUUAACCGAAUAGGGGAGCCGAAGGGAAACCGAGUCUUAACUGGGCGUUAAGUUGCAGGGUAUAGACCCGAAACCCGGUGAUCUAGCCAUGGGCAGGUUGAAGGUUGGGUAACACUAACUGGAGGACCGAACCGACUAAUGUUGAAAAAUUAGCGGAUGACUUGUGGCUGGGGGUGAAAGGCCAAUCAAACCGGGAGAUAGCUGGUUCUCCCCGAAAGCUAUUUAGGUAGCGCCUCGUGAAUUCAUCUCCGGGGGUAGAGCACUGUUUCGGCAAGGGGGUCAUCCCGACUUACCAACCCGAUGCAAACUGCGAAUACCGGAGAAUGUUAUCACGGGAGACACACGGCGGGUGCUAACGUCCGUCGUGAAGAGGGAAACAACCCAGACCGCCAGCUAAGGUCCCAAAGUCAUGGUUAAGUGGGAAACGAUGUGGGAAGGCCCAGACAGCCAGGAUGUUGGCUUAGAAGCAGCCAUCAUUUAAAGAAAGCGUAAUAGCUCACUGGUCGAGUCGGCCUGCGCGGAAGAUGUAACGGGGCUAAACCAUGCACCGAAGCUGCGGCAGCGAC
RNAcentral lists this ribosomal RNA (792 nucleotides) under Escherichia coli. Its description in RNAcentral is "partial 23S ribosomal RNA". It matches the Rfam family "Bacterial large subunit ribosomal RNA", at positions 419 to 1212 of the family's 2925-position model. Lineage: Bacteria; Pseudomonadati; Pseudomonadota; Gammaproteobacteria; Enterobacterales; Enterobacteriaceae. The record is from RNAcentral.